UACGGAAGGCAGCAGUGGGGAAUAUUGCACAAUGGGCGCAAGCCUGAUGCAGCCAUGCCGCGUGUAUGAAGAAGGCCUUCGGGUUGUAAAGUACUUUCAGCGGGGAGGAAGGCGAUGUGGUUAAUAACCGCGUCGAUUGACGUUACCCGCAGAAGAAGCACCGGCUAACUCCGUGCCAGCAGCCGCGGUAAUACGGAGGGUGCAAGCGUUAAUCGGAAUUACUGGGCGUAAAGCGCACGCAGGCGGUCUGUUUAAGUCAGAUGUGAAAUCCCCCGGGCUUAACCUGGGAACUGCAUUUUGAAACUGGCAGGCUUGAGUCUCGUAGAGGGGGUAGAAUUCCAGGUGUAGCGGUGAAAUGCGUAGAGAUCUGGAGGAAUACCGGUGGCGAAGGCGGCCCCUGGGACGAAGACUGACGCUCAGGUGCGAAAGCGUGGGGAGCAAACAGGAUUAGAUACC
This 456-nucleotide ribosomal RNA is filed under the name uncultured bacterium. RNAcentral describes it as "bacterial SSU rRNA". It matches the Rfam family "Bacterial small subunit ribosomal RNA", at positions 340 to 786 of the family's 1533-position model. The record is from RNAcentral.